GCGACGAGCAAAGACUGAAACGCACUUUCCUUCUUCACACUUUCUAGUUUGUAUCGUCAUCGCCUUAGGAUUUUGUGCUAAA
Molecule: long non-coding RNA, 82 nt
Organism: Ipomoea nil (Japanese morning glory)
Lineage: Eukaryota; Viridiplantae; Streptophyta; Magnoliopsida; Solanales; Convolvulaceae
Exons: 3
Source: RefSeq, a predicted model, not a curated record